CCUACGGGAGGCAGCAGUGGGGAAUAUUGGACAAUGGGGGCAACCCUGAUCCAGCCAUGCCGCGUGUGUGAAGAAGGCCCUCGGGUUGUAAAGCACUUUCAGUGAGGAAGAACGCCUGGUGGUUAAUACCCAUCAGGAAAGACAUCACUCACAGAAGAAGCACCGGCUAACUCCGUGCCAGCAGCCGCGGUAAUACGGAGGGUGCGAGCGUUAAUCGGAAUUACUGGGCGUAAAGCGCGCGUAGGUGGCUUGAUAAGCCUGUUGUGAAAGCCCCGGGCUCAACCUGGGAACGGCAUCCGGAACUGUCAAGCUAGAGUGCAGGAGAGGAAGGUAGAAUUCCCGGUGUAGCGGUGAAAUGCGUAGAGAGCGGGAGGAAUACCAGUGGCGAAGGCGGCCUUCUGGACUGACACUGACACUGAGGUGCGAAAGCGUGGGUAGCAAACAGGAUUAGAUACCCUUGUAGUC
Molecule: ribosomal RNA, 465 nt
Filed under: Vreelandella stevensii
Lineage: Bacteria; Pseudomonadati; Pseudomonadota; Gammaproteobacteria; Oceanospirillales; Halomonadaceae
Description: partial 16S ribosomal RNA
Rfam family: Bacterial small subunit ribosomal RNA
Source: RNAcentral